This is a small nuclear RNA of Oryctolagus cuniculus (rabbit), 186 nucleotides long. Its record names the gene U2. It matches the Rfam family "U2 spliceosomal RNA". From Rfam's summary of the family: U2 is a small nuclear RNA (snRNA) component of the spliceosome (involved in pre-mRNA splicing). Complementary binding between U2 snRNA (in an area lying towards the 5' end but 3' to hairpin I) and the branchpoint sequence (BPS) of the intron results the bulging out of an unpaired adenosine, on the BPS, which initiates a nucleophilic attack at the intronic 5' splice site, thus starting the first of two transesterification reactions that mediate splicing. The record is from Ensembl. NCBI's taxonomy places the organism in Eukaryota, Metazoa, Chordata, Mammalia, Lagomorpha, Leporidae.
AUUGCUUCUUGGCCUUUUGGCUAAGAUCAAGUGUAGUAAGUGUGUUUUUCUUUGUUUAAAGUUGAUUUGAUUACAAACAAGUGCAAAUUUAGCCAAACACACAAACUAGUAUGCGAGUCCUUGUGUACUCAGCGCCCAGCUUCAACAGUUAUCAAUAUCUAGCCAUUGGGUUUUUGAGUCAAAAUC